RNAcentral lists this RNase P RNA (363 nucleotides) under uncultured Brumimicrobium sp. RNAcentral's name for it is "Bacterial RNase P class A". It matches the Rfam family "Bacterial RNase P class A". From Rfam's summary of the family: Ribonuclease P (RNase P) is a ubiquitous endoribonuclease, found in archaea, bacteria and eukarya as well as chloroplasts and mitochondria. Its best characterised activity is the generation of mature 5'-ends of tRNAs by cleaving the 5'-leader elements of precursor-tRNAs. Lineage: Bacteria; Pseudomonadati; Bacteroidota; Flavobacteriia; Flavobacteriales; Crocinitomicaceae. The record is from RNAcentral.
AAUUGGCUUGUCGCUUUUGUUCAUUUAGUUCAAAAGAGGAAAGUCCGGGCAGCACAGAGCACCAUACUUCCUAACGGGAAGGAUGCAUUCAUUUGUAGACAGAUAGUGCCACAGAAAUAGGUAGCCUUGAUGUAACCAUCAGGGUCAUAGUGAAAAGGCGAGGUAAGAGCUCACCGUCCUAGAUAGUGAUAUCAGGAGCUAGGUAAACCUUAUGGGCUGAAAGAUCAUGUAAACUGAGGUUUGAGGGCUGCUCGCCCAACUCAGAGGGUAGAUCGAUUGAUUCCGUUCGCGAGGUCGGAACUAGAUAAAUGACAAGCUUCCAUCUUUUGGUGGAAACAGAACCCGGCUUAUAGAUUUGCUUUU